ACUGUUCAUCAUCGUGAGUUUGGGUUUGAGAGUCGGAGUGUUGGAAGACAAAAUCGGUGGUGUAUGCAUUAUCUUUAUCAUCUAUGCGCAUGAUCCAGAUUCGGUUUUGAUCGGAACUGCCAUGGAACGUAUCAUCGGCGGCAAGUACAAGCUCGGACGGAAGAUCGGCGGUGGUUUUUUCGGAGAGAUUUUCCUGGCUACGCACGUUGAUACGUUCGAGAUCGUUGCUGUUAAGAUCUUUUGUUUCGCAGGAGGAGAGUAAAACGAAGCAUCCCCAACUUCUCUAUGAAGCCAAGCUUUACAGAAUUCUUGAAGGAGGAAUUAUCGGGUUUAUGUAAUUGACUUUGAACUCGCCAAAAGAUAUCCUGAUGCCAACACCAACCGCCACAUCCCUUACAGUCUUCCAUGGCAGGGUCUUAAGGUUGUUGACAAGAAGCAAAAAUAUGACAGAAUUUGUGAGAAGAAUAUAGCAACUCCGAAUGAGGUCUAUCUCAUGCUCUUUUUUUUUAAGAACCCUUAAUUAGAGCUCACCAUUGGAGGAGAAAAGAAUUUAGGGAUUCUAAACUUUAUAUUAACUAAAAAUUAUGAUUAAGAAAUUGAUAAGAACUUCUCAUUAGUACUUACCAUUGGAGAUGCUCUA
This is a long non-coding RNA of Eutrema salsugineum, 640 nucleotides long. RefSeq lists it as uncharacterized. The transcript has 5 exons. The record is from RefSeq and is a predicted model, not a curated record. Lineage: Eukaryota; Viridiplantae; Streptophyta; Magnoliopsida; Brassicales; Brassicaceae.